This 73-nucleotide transfer RNA is filed under the name Clostridia bacterium. Its description in RNAcentral is "tRNA-Trp". It matches the Rfam family "tRNA". From Rfam's summary of the family: Transfer RNA (tRNA) molecules are approximately 80 nucleotides in length. The record is from RNAcentral. RNAcentral also lists the same sequence under 2 other names. Lineage: Bacteria; Bacillati; Bacillota; Clostridia.
AGGGGUAUAGUUCAGUCGGUAGAACGUCGGUCUCCAAAACCGGAUGUCGAGGGUUCGAGUCCUUCUGCCCCUG